Molecule: long non-coding RNA, 7986 nt
Filed under: Octopus vulgaris (common octopus)
Lineage: Eukaryota; Metazoa; Mollusca; Cephalopoda; Octopoda; Octopodidae
Source: RNAcentral
ACACAUGCAUACACAUAUAUAUACAUAUAUAUUUGUAUAUAUAUAUUAGUAUGGGCAUGUAUGUAUACAUCACUGUUUCAAGCUAUUUCUAUGACAUUGUUAACUUUCUACACGUCCACAUACAUUGCUUAUAAUCAUUGUCAUAAUGUAUAUAUACAUUUUAUACCCAGCUCCCUGUUAUAUAUAUAUAUAUUGUACAAACACAGAGAAAAAAAAAAAAGGCGGGCAAUGUAUUCCUGCCCUCUCUUCUACAGAAUCAGACAUAAACCAAGAAGGGAGCCUCUACAUUCAAAUUGCUAGAAAUAGCAGCUAAAUCUCCCUCAGUCACAUCCCAUCAUCUCAGACAAAACGACCACAUUGCACAAUGAAAGAGUGGAUUUAAAAACAAAAGACAGAUGCUCAUUGCAAGAACGCCUUUUGGUCUGACGUCUGCUUGUUCAGGGCUGACCUGUUGCUAAGCAACAACAACAACAACAACACCAGAAACAAACCCAAAAGGUUGACUGCAGCAGGAUCAAUAACAACAACAACAACAACAGUUACAGCCUCUGGUCCACAUCUCUACUGCCACAUGUUGCUACUUGAUUAUCAUGGAUGAUAGAAUGGAGGUAGGUCAGGUUUAUUGAUAUAAUUUAUCUUUAAUGUAACAAAUCAGUUCUUCUCUUACCUUCUCUCUCUCUGACACAUACUGUCUCUAUCUAUCCAUCAGUCUGUCUGUCUGUCUAUCUAUCUAUCUAUCUAUCUAUCUAUCAUCUAUUUAUCUGUCUGUCUGUCUGUCUGUCUAUCUAUUUAUGUUUCUAUCUAUCAUUGCUAUUAUGUUAAACUGUCGUAUUUCCCAAUUUGACCAAAUGCUUGCAAUAGCUGGUUCUUUUGCUCAAACUAUCAUAUCUCCAGCUUCUUCAGAUGAAAACUGUCAGAGUGUAGUAGAAUGGUUUAGCGCUCUUCGAAAGUGUAGUAAAUCCCACAUUCGACAGUUUUGAAAAAAGUAUUUCUUACUGAAAAUAUCAUACAUGCAUGGAGCUACGAUUUUAUGCACCCAACAAAGUAUUAUUGUUAAACUGAAAUUGUUACUAAUGUAAAGAGGAAUGGAAUGGUGAAACUAUUUUUUCAUUUUCUGUAAAAGCAACGUUUUGGACUUUUGCAUAAUAGCAACGAUGUAUGUAUCUUUUUUUAUUAAUAUUAUCAGAAGCAACAGAAUAACUCAAUGUCUAAAAGUUUCAUGCAUUGGCACUUAUUAAACUAGUGAUAUAUAUAUACAUGUAUAUAUAUAUAUAUAUAUAUACACGUCACAUAUAUAUAACAUGAUGUGCAAGCUGGGAGUGGCUUCAACAAAAAAUUAUUUUAUAUAGCCAAGAUCCACCCAGCACACAACAGGGUGGAACUAAUGAUAAAUUAACCUAGUUUUCAUGAAUCAUAAUGUAGAGACCAUUACAAAUAUAGGCAAGAAUUCUUUAACAUUACUUUCAAACUACACACCACAUAGACCAUAAGCUGUUCAACUCACCCAAUGUUAAACUUAGUCAUUCCUGUCCAGACAACAUAGCUUCCUAAAUCAGAGACUGCAAUAACCAUCCAGAUUCUAGACAGUCACCAUCAUCCAGCUUGCAACAGCUAAAAUCCUUGCUUCUCUAAGUCUUAUUUCAAGUGGCCAAAACUGAGGAUAGUUUUAAGAAGAAUUAUAAGGGCUUAACAGAUAGCACUUUCAAGGGCUACUUUCUUCAAUAUCUUCAAUGAUUCAGGCUAAAGAAUGGGGAAAAUUCCACUCUUCUGUUACAAUUCAUUAAAAAAGUUAGGGACGAGGGAAUAACAUGUCUUCCUUUGAUGAAGCUAAGCCAGAUUUUGCCUAAUUGAAGAAUUCCACAUUUUGAAUCCACGUGCAAUGUCUCUUAACUUGAAAUCAGAUGAAUUGUCCCAUUAUUGCUACUGACAGAAGUUCCUUUCAGAACUCUUCUAAAAUGUUCAGAUGUCCUAAUGUUACAACUCAAAGAAAUUACUUCUAAAACGGUUUCCUCAUUGCAGAGUAAUUACCCUUGAAGGCAAACAUUGGGAGUUGCUUCUCUUCUUCAUACACAACUUCAACAAUAUUAUUAAUCUUCACCAAUGGAAACUGAGAUAAAUUUUAAGUAUAGGGAGAUCGAGUUUGCUAUCUAUACACAUGUGUAAAUAGCAUCAUCAUCAUUUAAUGCCUGUUUUCUAUGCUGGCAUGGCUCAGAUGGUUUUACAGGAGCUGUUAAGCUGCACCAGGCUUCAGUCAUCCGCUUUGGCAUGGUUUCUACAGCUGGAUGCCUUUCCUAACACCAACCACUCCAAGAGUGGACUGGGUGCUUUUUAUGUGUUGCCAGCAUGGGCGCUUUUUGUGUGAUAUCAUGUUUGUGUGUGAGUGUGUGUAUUGUGUUUAAAGUUAUAACUAGCAGUUAGAUAUUUCUGAAGUGUGGCCCAUUGGUGUCACCCUAUAAAUUGAAACUGAGUUCAUCAUAUUUACCUGUACAAACUGAUUCCUAUUACCUGUCUCAGUAUUAUAGUAGAAUUAUUACCAUACCAGACCAAAUACUUAGCAGCGAUUCUUCUGGCUAUUUAUGUUCUGAAUACAAAUGUUGCCAAAGGAGACUUUGUCUUCAUUUUUUCAAGGUUGAUACAAUAAGUACCCACUGCAUACUGGGGUCAGGCUGACGUAAUUGACUUCCUUCCCCUCUCAAAACUGCUGGCUUUCUCUCAAAAAUUAGAAAGCAUUAUUUCAUCUAACUCGUAUAUUCCAAAACAUGUUUUCAUAUACUUGUGGCUAGUACGUUCCAUCUGCAACAUGUUGUAGAAUAUUAUAGGUUCUGUUAUACACCUUGAGCCUAACUUCCUAUGUGCAACAAGAUAAUCAUAUUUAGAAGAGGAAAUACUCAAUGUGUUUCCAUUGUUGGUGCCAUCUACCAUUCAGAUUUAAGGGUUUGGCAGUUUCUAGACCAGCAGAACCUCUUCUGAUUACUUGUGGCUUCACUAUUGGUUUGGCAUGAUGUGGUGAAUCAUGACGGUCAGGUUUUGGGUCUCAUGGAGGUGAUGACAAGUGACGAAGGUCUUUGAGGAUUUGCUGUGCUUGAGAAGACUCGUCAAGCCUAGUGUAAUUGUAGUCAUGACCAGUGCUGGUGAUGUAUAAAAGGCACUCGUGCCGGUGAAGAACGGUUGGCGUUAGGAAGGGCAUAAAGCUGUAUAAACCAAACCAAAUCAGACUGCAACUUGGUACAGCUCUCCAACUUACCAGUUCCAGUCAAACCUUCUAACCCAUGCCAGCAUGGAAAAUGGAUGCUAAAUGAUGAUGAUUGUGAUAAUGAUGUGUAUAUUUCAUUAAGGUACUUCAGUGAUGGUUCCUUAUUUUCUGUCCCUAAUACAGCUUCUUGAUUACAUUUAGUGCCUCUUAUUCAGGUGUUGAAAGAGAAACACGUUAACCUAAAUUCCUUUCUUACAAUUCACUUGCUGCACAGAUUUUCUUCAACUCUGGCAAUAUGUUUCUACAACUAAUUUUUGGUUUUGCAAUGCUUGUUGAUAUCUGCAGUCUUUCCAAAAUGUUUCUUGUGGACAUUCUGAACAGUUACAGCUGAUUCAAACUUAUUUCUAGCUCAAGCGAUGCUUAAGUGAGAAAUUUCAUUUCUGUCCCAUGGGAGAUUUGAAACAAGGAAAUUAUAGAUUCAAAGUGUAACAGUUAUUAUGGGGGGAGAGGGGGUAUGAUAAGAAUUUAAAGCAUCCACACACACACACAUUAUCAAUCUAAUCUAUGUUUCUUUUUUUCCAGAGAUGACCUCACAGCUGAACCCAUCUGACCCAACUCUACAAAUCUUAUAUUCUCAAAUGUGUUUCCUACACCUUUAUUUAGGGAACAUUGCAGCUGACUUCUCACUAAGCAAUAAUGUUGAGUUCCAGGGUUCAAAUCAUGGUACAUCUCACCAAUUUCACCAUCAACAUGGACAGACACAUCACACCCUUCCUUGCUCAAUGAAACAGUAUUAUGAACUCAGCCCCACCUCCCCACCUCAUGCUUUUGUGCCUCACUUCCAUCUCUUAAAAACAACAUUAAUGCUUUAAAUAAAUAUGUCACUAAAACUUGGAAGCUGUGUGCUGAUCAGAGGAGGUUUUGGGACAACCUUCCUCUCCCCUGUCUGUGCAUUUAAAGGAGAUUUCUUUUUUCCACUGUGGUCAAGGAUUCUGGUAGCCCAGUGUUGUCAGCCACAACUACUGUGUCUUUGUCAUUAAGGGUCACUAACAAGACAUCAGCACCGAUGCCGACUGUCCACUUAGAGAAGAACAGAACACUGGACGUACUAUUAUUGAUUAUCCUUGUAGUAGCAGCUGUAAUAGUAGCUGUGGUGAUUGUAGUGUCGAUCACACUGUGUAUUGUGAAAUGUAGCAGUGGUCAGUCUCGCUCUGCCAAGAGCACUAGGAAAGGUGUUAAUAGGUCAGCUAUAUGUAACAGAAUUGAUCAACCUUUACCAUGUCAGAGCAGCAGUAUUCCUGGUACCCCAGUGAGGUACUCUUCUGAGAUGAAUAAUAGAAACAUGCCAUUUGUGGAAUGUAAGGAAGAUUUCUACCCGCAGUUUGAAACACAACAUGUGCCCUGCAAGAAAAGAUAUCUAGUUGUGACAGAGGUCAAUGUAGGCUAACACAGGUAUGCCAGAAGAAAAGAGACCCAGUUAUGACAGAGGUAAAUAUUCAUAAAAUAUUUCAAAUAUCUUCAUUUUAUUCAUUUAAUGUUGCCAUUUCUGUGUUGAAGUAAAACCUCUUCCCUUACACCCGACUGCAUUUUAGCCUACCCUUAUGUUAACCCAAAUAAUGUCCAUGUUACCCUACUUUAGUUUCAUGUUACCCCAUACUAUGUUACUGAUACCCCAUGCUCGUUUUAUGUUAUCCCAUACAUUCUUACUGUUAGACCAGUCUGACUGUUAUGUUAACCCAAUUUUCAUUAUCCCACAUUAGUUUUAGAUUAUCCCAAAGAUUUCUUUGACUAUUUUGCACUUGUGCCAUUUCUUGUAAUCCUAUUGAUGAAUAUAUGUCCUCUUUAAUCAUAUAUAUAUAUAUAUAUACACACACACAUAUAUGUAUCUAUGUGUGUGUGUAUAUCUGUGCAUGUAUUUGUGUCUGUGUAUAUAUAUAUAUAUAUAUAUAUAUAUAUAUAUAUAUAUGUAUAUGUGUGUGUGUAUGUAUACACAUACAUAUCAGAGGUGACUCCAGGUCAUCAGCAUCACUCGGGCUCAUCACAGAUUUUGCAUAAGACACAUGUAGAAAAGGAAGUAAGAGACAUGAUGCACACUGCAAACUUACAUGUGCACUGAUAGUUCAACAAUAAGACAAAUAUAGUUUUAAUAUGUCUUUCUCCAUUUCUAAGAACAGCAAUCAAAUAAUGACACUAGGGUGCACAACAAACAUCACCUGUCUGACUGUCACCUGUACUCUUGACAACAGAUGCCAGUUAGUCUUCUACACCUACCAGACUCACUUGUAUUAACUCGAGUUGCUGGAUAAUUUUUCGUUUAAGAAUAUUGUAGAACGGAAACUUUUCACAGAUUAGAAUUUAAAUCCUAAUCUCUAUAGAAAUUUAUUGUCUCAGGAAAAAACUGAAUUUGAAUUACUUUUAAUUUUUACGAUUAUAGAUAACAACUCGGGCUGUAACUUCUGAGACUGAGUCAGGCACAUGUGAAUGAUGUCGAGAGAACGUCUGCUGUGAAUGAUAUUUUUUGAUACAGGGCACCUCUAGACGACCACCAGAGGCUGACCGAAAAUAAAUGAACUGUGACCAGGCUCAAUCAAAGGAGCCCAAGUUAUUGGCUGCAGUUACACACUUGAAGCCAGUGUUGGCAGAAAUGAAAUCAGCUUGAAAAUACACGUUCACUUCACUAGAUUUAUGCUCCAGCUAAGCCUGAACAACCCAAGUGCUGGAGUCACCACUGAUACACACACACACACACACACACACGUAUAUAUAUAUACAUACACACAUAAAUAUAUACAUAAGUAUAUACUACAAAAUUAGAGAAUGGAGAAACAUACUUAAAUCAAUAAAACAUCAACUAUCCGAUGAUACCCAAUCAAUACUUUAAUACACCAUUACAUAUGAGUAGAGGCAUUAUACAAAAAGAGAUAUACAUUAAUAGUAGAAAGAUAAAGAGAUAUAAGUAAAAAAUUUCAAAUAUAAUAUGCAAUUAAUCAAAACUGACAGCUGUUUUGGCAGUGAGGGCAGUCAUACCUCAUUUAACCUAUAAGCCAUAAAGGCAGGUAUAAAUGAGGCAUUAACAAGGAUGCCCCACGGCCUCUUCAGAGAAUUAAAUUAAAUUUGUUAUAAUUGUGAAAAAUAUUAUAUAUUACAUAAGUAUAUAUAUAUGUAUGUACAUAUAUGCAUGCAUGUAUAUGUGUGUGCGUGUAUGUAUUUAUAUAUAUAUAUGUAUAUAUAUAUAUAUAUAUAUAUAUAUAUAUAUAUAUAUAUAUAUAUGUAUUAUAUAUAUGUGUAUGUCCUCUUUAAUAUUUCAGGUAUCAACUGGACCAAAGCAAUCUCUUCUACUCGACACACACUGCAACACAGGACACAUUCUAAAUAUUAAUAAAUUAAGAUUUAGAUGCAGGUAUAUGUAAGCAACACAUGUAAAUGCAAAUACACAUACGUGCUCAUUAAACACUUGCAUACACACACUCACAUAUUCAACCCACCAUCACACACACACACACACACAGACAUGUAUGUAUAUUUGCAGCACCCAGAAACAGCCCAGAUUAGGGCAAAACUCAGACAAACUGUCAACUUUUUUAUACAAUAAGUAUAUGUGUGUUUGUGUGAAGGUGUAUCUACAUUAAUAUACAUAAAUAUUGAUGUGUGUGUGUAUGUAUGUAUAUAUAUAUAUAUAUAUAUAUAUAUAUAUAUAUAUACAUAUAUAUACACAUAAACAUAUAUGUAUAUAGAAGCAUAUGUAUGUGUGUGUGUCUAUAUAUAUAUAUAUAUAUAUAUACACACACACAUGUAUGUGUGCAUGUGUAUUAUUUUACAAGCAGAUUCCAUUCUGAUGAUGCCAACCAAUUUAGUUGCUUCUCACAGCAUGCAGGGAUACAGUAUACCAAUUGUAACACCAAUGUACAAACACUGGUUUUAUGUUUAUGUACAUAUAUAUAUAUAUAUAUAUAUAUAUAUAUACACACAAACCUAUAUAUAUAUAUUAUAUAAAUAUAUAUAUACAUAUAUAUAAACAUUUAUAUAUUUAUAUUUAUAUUACAUAAUGGUACUUUAAAUGAUUGUUUUUUUUUUAUAAUUCUAAAUAUUUCAUUGUAUAUUAGCAAUUUUGAGAUGUAAAAAGUAAAAAAAAAAAACCACCUUCGUGAGUUGAAACAUACAAUUGUCACGUCUCUGUUACUGACCACAAUAUAUGUGCAUAUUCAUAAAUACAUAGAGACAUGCAUGUAUAUAUAUAUAUGCAUAUAGCAAGAGAAAAAGAGGGAAAGAGAGAUAGAGAGAGUGAGAAUGAUAUCUUUGUAUGAAUAUAUAUGUAAUAUAUAUAUAUAUGAAUAUCUGUAAAUGAUAAUUAUGACUAUAUAUAGACAUAUAAAUGUAUAUGUGUGUAUAUAUGUUAGCACUGUUUCCAUAACUGUUUCACUAUCAAUGAAUUAAAGUCGUUUAUUCGUUAUUUGUUCAACUGUUUAAUUUUAAUAUCAAAGUCUAUACGAUAACCUCUAUUUGUCUUUCCAGUUAUCUCAACAUCAAUGUGGUAGAGAUUGUCUCCCCUUGCUUGGUUAUAUAUUAUUAUAUAAGAAUGUAAUAAAAAAAACAUCUUAACUCCCCGCCCCCACCCCACUGCAAACUGUUGGCUUUCUUCAUGAAUUAACUGUUUGUGGAAGUAAAGGGCAGAUAAUUCCAGGCUUCUGGGAUGACAACAAUCUGAUAUACCAGUCAUGCAUGCCAAACAUACAAAACAGACGAAAUUUAAAUCAAAAAUAAGCAUGACCUUCAAAAGCAUGUCUAUAUAUAUU